UAGGGAAUCUUCGGCAAUGGGGGCAACCCUGACCGAGCAACGCCGCGUGAGUGAAGAAGGUUUUCGGAUCGUAAAGCUCUGUUGUAAGUCAAGAACGGGUGUGAGAGUGGAAAGUUCACACUGUGACGGUAGCUUACCAGAAAGGGACGGCUAACUACGUGCCAGCAGCCGCGGUAAUACGUAGGUCCCGAGCGUUGUCCGGAUUUAUUGGGCGUAAAGCGAGCGCAGGCGGUUUGAUAAGUCUGAAGUUAAAGGCUGUGGCUCAACCAUAGUUCGCUUUGGAAACUGUCAAGCUUGAGUGCAGAAGGGGAGAGUGGAAUUCCAUGUGUAGCGGUGAACUGCGUAGGUAUAUGGAGGAACACCGGUGGCGAAAGCGGCUCUCUGGUCUGUAACUGACGCUGAGGCUCGAAAGCGUGGGGAGCGAACAGG
RNAcentral lists this ribosomal RNA (429 nucleotides) under bacterium. RNAcentral describes it as "partial 16S ribosomal RNA". It matches the Rfam family "Bacterial small subunit ribosomal RNA", at positions 355 to 776 of the family's 1533-position model. The record is from RNAcentral.